AGGACGAACGCUGGCGGCGUGCUUAACACAUGCAAGUCGAGCGGAAAGGCCCUUCGGGGUACUCGAGCGGCGAACGGGUGAGUAACACGUGAGUAAUCUGCCUUCAGCUCUGGGAUAGCUCCGGGAAACCGGGAUUAAUACCGGAUAUGACCACUUCGGACAUCUGUUGUGGUGGAAAGUUUUUCGGCUGGAGAUGAGCUCGCGGCCUAUCAGCUUGUUGGUGGGGUAACGGCCUACCAAGGCGACGACGGGUAGCCGGCCUGAGAGGGCGACCGGCCACACUGGGACUGAGACACGGCCCAGACUCCUACGGGAGGCAGCAGUGGGGAAUAUUGCGCAAUGGGCGGAAGCCUGACGCAGCGACGCCGCGUGGGGGAUGAAGGCCUUCGGGUUGUAAACCCCUUUCAGCAGGGACGAAGCGGAAGUGACGGUACCUGCAGAAGAAGCGCCGGCUAACUACGUGCCAGCAGCCGC
Molecule: ribosomal RNA, 474 nt
Filed under: uncultured bacterium
Lineage: Bacteria
Description: SSU rRNA
Rfam family: Bacterial small subunit ribosomal RNA
Source: RNAcentral